GUGCUUGCUUCGGCGCACAUAUACUAAAAUUGGAAUGAUGCAGAGAAGAUGAGCAUGGCCCCUGCGCAAGGAUGAAACACAAAUUCGUGAAGUGUUCCAUAUUUUU
RNAcentral lists this small nuclear RNA (106 nucleotides) under Aotus nancymaae (Ma's night monkey). Lineage: Eukaryota; Metazoa; Chordata; Mammalia; Primates; Aotidae. The record is from RNAcentral.